This 943-nucleotide long non-coding RNA is filed under the name Mytilus galloprovincialis (Mediterranean mussel). The record is from RNAcentral. Lineage: Eukaryota; Metazoa; Mollusca; Bivalvia; Mytilida; Mytilidae.
UUUAAGGGCAUCCGAUACAGUUUCUCGAUUAAAUGUCAUUUUUAUAAAUUUGUAAUAUGUUGUAGGCCUUGGCGAGAUAUAAAAUAAAACACAAAAUAAAACAUAGGUCACCGUGCUUGUUUUCGAGAAAAUUGAGGCUAAAAAUUGGGGAUUUGUGCAAUUUUGUAAAAAAAUUAGGCAAUGUUAAAAAAAAUUUUGGAGCAGAUAUGUUUCGUCGUAAAUUAUUAAGAUCGGGUUCAAUCUGAAGCUGUGAUAAGUGACAAAAAGGAAAAAAAUAAAUCACUACAUGAAUAACUAUACAAUUAUUCAAGCCUUGCUUGUCAUUGCGGACCAGAUGCUCAAAGUGGUAUUUUUUUAAACCUAAAAAAAUAGAAAUAAACUGUUUCUGAAAAUGUCAUUUUUAUGAUUUUUCUGCAUAAAUUGCAUUUUGUCAUUCUUUCUCCAAAUCCCAAAUAAAAAAUAUAGGUCACCGUGCUUGAUUCCAUGAUAAACGCGAUUUAUCCUAAAAAUUGCGUCCCCCCUUUGUAACCUCAACGUUAGCGCUAAAGUGCACGACGUCGCUGGCAGACAAUUUCGACGUUAUCUCUGCAAAUGACCGGAGACAUUUUUCAGAUGUAUAAAUAUUGCUUGUAACAUGUGUAAAUUACUAUCUAUAAAUUGGUAAUAUUGUUUCCGGAAAUAAAAUCAUGUGAAUAACAAAUCCCUCUCUCUGUUUGUGGUCUAAGUGAGAAAUAAACAUCUCAAGAAAAGUUAUUACGGACUGUUGAUAAUUUUUACGGCUUUUAAAAUUAAAUACUCGGCAAUUUAGAACUUGACAUACAGGUACAUUUACUGUACACACUCGUAUAUUAUUUCAUACCGUAUGUUGACCUCUAGAUUUAUUUUGUUUUGUUUGGUGGGCUGCUGUUUCAUUACAAAUAAUCCUUUAAAUCCUUUUAUUCAC